Long non-coding RNA from Rhinichthys klamathensis goyatoka, 594 nucleotides. RefSeq lists it as uncharacterized. The record is from RefSeq and is a predicted model, not a curated record. Lineage: Eukaryota; Metazoa; Chordata; Actinopteri; Cypriniformes; Leuciscidae. The transcript has 2 exons.
AAAGAGAGAGAGAGCAGAGCAGAGCAUCGGGGAAAUGCUUCACCUGUUAAGAGCAGACGGAUGAAUUCAGUAUUAGUGUUGCCUCACAAUCUUCUGUGUUGUGUUUGGUCAAUUAAAACUACACAGACUAAUGAAACUGAGACUAAUAAAACAGGAUUGUUUGCCAUUUUGAGUGUACUCAACAAACUCUCAGGUAAUUACACAAAUGCAUGUUCAUUAACUAUGAGUGGGGAGAAGAUCUAAAAACUAUGCUUUAGUUCUCAGUCAUGUACAGAGAAGUCUACAACACUACGUUUUACCUCUGGGGGUAAGAGGGGGUCACAGCGCCACAGGUCAGCCUGUGAAGGCCUGGAAGUCGGACUCUGUAACGGCAGGGAGAAUGAGUCAGGUAAAAAGCCCAGGUAAAAACAAAAUCAUUAACAUAGUAAAUGCAAAUGAGGUUUACAAAUGCAACCCAUUAAUAGGAAUGAUGAAUGUGCCGGUAAUGACAAGAGUCACACUGAAUUACAUGCUUUUUUGUGAACAGUGUAUCACUAAGAAAAAUAAAAUGUAUUCAACCUAAUAUAGUAAUGUACGGCCUUUCAGCUGUAAAAA